Molecule: long non-coding RNA, 210 nt
Filed under: Panax ginseng (ginseng)
Lineage: Eukaryota; Viridiplantae; Streptophyta; Magnoliopsida; Apiales; Araliaceae
Description: long non-coding RNA (PGIN_LNC018676)
Source: RNAcentral
UGGUGUUUGUCGUGUUUACUGUGCAGGAUCAGGACGUCUUUCGUGAUUGGGACGUGGAGAAAGAUCCUGACAUUAACAUUGGCGCUAGGAGGGGUGAGUUCUAGUGUCCUGAGUAUUUUUCAAUUACAGAGUGUGUUUUAUUCUAUUCAGUUUUCAUGGGGAAGAGUAGAACACCUACACCCGAAGGACAGCCGAUGGCUGUUAGUGAAU